Molecule: ribosomal RNA, 487 nt
Filed under: uncultured bacterium
Lineage: Bacteria
Description: bacterial SSU rRNA
Rfam family: Bacterial small subunit ribosomal RNA
Source: RNAcentral
GAUGAACGUUGGCGGUGUGCCUAAUACAUGCAAGUCGAACGGAGAUAAUAGCAAUAUUGUCUUAGUGGCGAACGGGUGAGUAACGCGUUGGUGAUCUGCCCCGAAGUGAGGAAUAGCAGUUCGAAAGAAUUGCUAAUACCCCAUGUGAUCUUAGAGAUUAGACGCUCUUUGAUUAAAGAAUUUAUUCGCUUCGGGAGGAGCCUGCGUCCCAUCAGCUAGUUGGUAAGGUAACGGCUUACCAAGGCGAUGACGGGUAGGGGACCUGAGAGGGUGGCCCCCCACAAUGGAACUGAAACACGGUCCAUACACCUACGGGUGGCAGCAGUAGGGAAUAUUAGUAAUGGGCGAAAGCCUGAUCUAGCAACACCGCGUGUGCGAUGAAGGCCUUCGGGUCGUAAAGCACUUUUUGGAGGAAUAGGAAGGAAGGUACCUCCAGAAUAAGUCUCGGCUAACUACGUGCCAGCAGCCGCGGUAAAACUGUAGUCGU